CGGAGGGAGCAAGCGUUACUCGGAAUUAUUGGGCGUAAAGGGCGCGUAGGCGAUCUGACAAGUCUCGUGUGAAAGCCCAGAGCUUAACUCUGGAAGGGCACGAGAUACUGUUGGAUUUGAGUUCCGGAGAGGAAGAUGGAAUUCCCGGUGUAGCGGUGAAAUGCGCAGAUAUCGGGAGGAACACCAGUGGCGAAGGCGAUCUUCUGGACGGAUACUGACGCUGAGGCGCGAAAGCUAGGGGAGCAAACGGGAUUAGAUACCCCGGUAGUCCUAGCCGUAAACGAUGUACACUUGGUGUGUCCGCCUUUGGCGGAUGUGCCGUAGUUAACGCAAUAAGUGUACCGCCUGGGGAGUACGGUCGCAAGGCUG
This 369-nucleotide ribosomal RNA is filed under the name uncultured organism. Its description in RNAcentral is "bacterial SSU rRNA". It matches the Rfam family "Bacterial small subunit ribosomal RNA", at positions 526 to 896 of the family's 1533-position model. The record is from RNAcentral.